GUCCGUCCGCCCCAGCCCCUGAGGAGGUCUGUGCACGUGACUGGUGCAGCUAGGAUGCUGGGACGUGUUCAGUUGAGGGAUCGCAUGACACAUGCGGGAUACUGUUGAAGUUGGGUCUGAUUUGGAGUGGUUCGGUACCAUAAGACUCACACAGAUGAUGUAAUCUCCCAUUGAAUGCUACAGGUUGCCAGACCCUCUCGUUUGGCCUGGCUGGGGUGCAGUGAGGCAUGACAAACAGGAGCAGAGGGAAAGACUUCAUUCCAAAAUGUGC
Molecule: long non-coding RNA, 271 nt
Organism: Paramisgurnus dabryanus
Lineage: Eukaryota; Metazoa; Chordata; Actinopteri; Cypriniformes; Cobitidae
Source: RefSeq, a predicted model, not a curated record